UGGCUCACCAAGGCGACGAUGCGUAGCCGACCUGAGAGGGUGAUCGGCCGCAUUGGGACUGAGACACGGCCCAGACUCCUACGGGAGGCAGCAUG
RNAcentral lists this ribosomal RNA (95 nucleotides) under uncultured bacterium. RNAcentral's name for it is "partial 16S ribosomal RNA". It matches the Rfam family "Bacterial small subunit ribosomal RNA", at positions 261 to 353 of the family's 1533-position model. The record is from RNAcentral.